GGCCAGUUAGCUCGAUUGGUUAGAGCAUUGUGCUAAUAAUGCAAAGGUUGGGGGUUUGAAACCCGUACUGACCA
RNAcentral lists this transfer RNA (74 nucleotides) under Salmo salar (Atlantic salmon). It matches the Rfam family "tRNA". From Rfam's summary of the family: Transfer RNA (tRNA) molecules are approximately 80 nucleotides in length. Their secondary structure includes four short double-helical elements and three loops (D, anti-codon, and T loops). Further hydrogen bonds mediate the characteristic L-shaped molecular structure. tRNAs have two regions of fundamental functional importance: the anti-codon, which is responsible for specific mRNA codon recognition, and the 3' end, to which the tRNAs corresponding amino acid is attached (by aminoacyl-tRNA synthetases). tRNAs cope with the degeneracy of the genetic code in two manners: having more than one tRNA (with a specific anti-codon) for a particular amino acid; and 'wobble' base-pairing, i.e. permitting non-standard base-pairing at the 3rd anti-codon position. Lineage: Eukaryota; Metazoa; Chordata; Actinopteri; Salmoniformes; Salmonidae. The record is from Rfam by way of RNAcentral.